CCCUUAGAUUUCCUGGGCCGCACGCGCGCUACACUGAUGCAUUCAACGAGUAUUUCCUUGGCCGAGAGGCCUGGGCAAUCUUUUAAACCUGCAUCGUGAUAGGGAUAGAUUAUUGCAAUUAUUAAUCUUGAACGAGGAAUUCCUAGUAAACGCAAAUCAUCAAUUUGCAUUGAUUACGUCCCUGCCCUUUGUACACACCGCCCGUCGCACCUACCGAUUGAAUGGUCCGGUGAAAUCUCGGGAUUGUGGCCAGUUCACUUUAUUGGGAGUUGGCUGCGAGAACUUGCUUAAACCUUAUCAUUUAGAGGAAGGUGAAGUCGUAACA
Molecule: ribosomal RNA, 325 nt
Filed under: uncultured eukaryote
Lineage: Eukaryota
Description: partial 18S ribosomal RNA
Rfam family: Eukaryotic small subunit ribosomal RNA
Source: RNAcentral